RNAcentral lists this ribosomal RNA (304 nucleotides) under uncultured bacterium. RNAcentral's name for it is "partial 16S ribosomal RNA". It matches the Rfam family "Bacterial small subunit ribosomal RNA", at positions 506 to 807 of the family's 1533-position model. The record is from RNAcentral.
CAGCAGUAGCCACGGGAAUACGGGGGGUGCAAGCGUUAUUCGGAUUGAUUGGGUGUAAAGGGUGUGCAGACGGCUUAUUAAGUCACUUGUUAAAUUCUUCGGCCUAACUGAAGGUCUGCAAGUGAUACUGAUGAGCUAGAGGGUGGAAGAGAGAAGUGGAAUUCUCGGAGUAGCGGUAAAAUGCGUAGAUCUCGAGAGGAACACCAAUGGCGAAGGCAGCUUCUUGGUCCAUUCCUGACGUUCAUACACGAAAGCGUGGGGAGCAAACAGGAUUAGAUACCCCGGUAGUCCCUGUCUCUUAUAC